This 409-nucleotide ribosomal RNA is filed under the name Epyris sp. RNAcentral describes it as "partial large subunit ribosomal RNA". Lineage: Eukaryota; Metazoa; Arthropoda; Insecta; Hymenoptera; Bethylidae. The record is from RNAcentral.
CUCUUUAUGAAUAAAAUAAUAAGUUGACUCUGCCCANUGAUUAUUUAAUGGCUGCAGUAUUUUAACUGUACAAAGGUAGCAUAAUAAAUUGGUUUUUAAUUGAAAUCUAGAAUGAAGGAGGUGAUGAAAUAUAUACUUUAUUAAAUUUAAAAUUUGAAUUUAAUUUUAAAGUUAAAAAGCUUUAAUUUUUUUAAGGGACGAGAAGACCCUAUAGAAUUUUAUAUAAAUAAUGAUAAUAUAAUAUAAUUAUUUAUAUUUAUUUGGGAGGAAUUUUAAAUUUAUAAACUUUAAUUAAUAAUUAACAUAUAUAAAUGAAUUAUUUUAGAAUUUAUUAAUUAAAUAUAAAAUUAAAUUACCUUAGGGAUAACAGCGUAAUAUUUUUUUAUAGUUCAUAUUGAAAAAAAUGUUU